RNAcentral lists this microRNA precursor (93 nucleotides) under Pelobates cultripes (western spadefoot toad). The record is from RNAcentral. Lineage: Eukaryota; Metazoa; Chordata; Amphibia; Anura; Pelobatidae.
CCCCAGAUGUUGCUGAACUACAACUCCCAUGAUUCCCUGGCUAUUUGUUUCAUUGAAAGAAUCAUGGGAUUUGUAGUUCAGCAACAUCUGGGG